AUGAAAAAGAAAACCGCUAAUCGGCGAAAGGUGAUCAUUCAAGGUGGGCGAAGGUUGGGCUGUAAACCAAUCAAACGGUCAGCAAACACUUUGUGAACUGUUUGACGAGAAAUUCGCUUACGUUCGUUCGUUUUAUAAAUGAACGAACAUAAACAAAAAAUGUUAUUCGAUUAGUUAGAUCAACAAACAUGAACAUAGGUCUCCUUCGUUCAAUUGGGGGGGGGGGGGUAGUGCACGGUCCUCCCAACCGCCGGAGUGAUCUCACUCCGGGAGCCGCUACCCGACCAAGCUAGCUCCGCGGUGACAUCCCCAUGCCGAGUUCUUACCCUGGGCGACAUAUGCCACUCCCAAGACUCGAACCCGGUACCUCUGGGUGUUCGGUAACAUGUUCGUGAACAUUCAUUUAUCUUCGUUUGUUUAUGUUGAUCAUGAAAUUUUUGUACUUUUAUUUAUUUUAUCCAAACUUUGAAUAUUCUUUAACUUUAAUUUAUUUUAUUAUCCUAAAAUUAAAAUAAGAAGCCUUAUUUCCGAAAACCGUUCUAUGGCGUGAUGAUAACACAUGGUCUUAUUAGGCCUUGAGAUGUACUAGUUUAACUUCAUUGGUGUUAAAGAUGACAUGACAAGUUAAUAGGUUUUUCAAACCACUCCCUUCUAAUGUUAAGAGGUGUUAAAACCUCCCUUGGUUAACAUGUUAACUUAGGCAAAAAAGAAAAAAAAAAUUAAUGUUAUUUAUUAUCAAUGUCUAUUUUAGCGAACAAGUUAAUGAAAUGAUAUUAUUAUUUAUUUUGUAUUUAAUUUAAUUAUGUAAUAUAUUAAUAAUUAAAAAAAUGAUGGGUGAGGUAAAGCUAAAAAGGUUAAACCAUCUUCAUAGAAUGAUAUGAAGUAAAAAGAGAAAAAACAGGUAAUGUGACGCUUAAAUGCUUAAUUAAGUUAAAAAAAAGUUAAGGUAUACCUCAUGGCGGAAACAUUUUCCAUAAAUUUUCAGGU
RNAcentral lists this long non-coding RNA (987 nucleotides) under Helianthus annuus (common sunflower). Its description in RNAcentral is "hypothetical non coding rna". The record is from RNAcentral. Lineage: Eukaryota; Viridiplantae; Streptophyta; Magnoliopsida; Asterales; Asteraceae.